RNAcentral lists this unclassified non-coding RNA (234 nucleotides) under Hevea brasiliensis (rubber tree). Lineage: Eukaryota; Viridiplantae; Streptophyta; Magnoliopsida; Malpighiales; Euphorbiaceae. The record is from RNAcentral.
AUGGCAUGCUAUUUGGGCCAACUAACAAGAAAUCAAAUAAAGAGUACGAUAAUUAGCAGUAUAUUAUAUAAACAAAUAAAAAUUGACUAGCUAUAUGCACCAUGGAAGUUUGCAUAAGUAAAUACAACAUAUUUCAGUUAUGAAAAUGCAGAAGCAUAUUAUUUCACCUGCUAAACAAUGACUUCCACACUCCAUCUCAGGAGAGAAAAAAAGAAAAAUGAUCAACUAUCUCUA